This is a small nuclear RNA of Ictalurus punctatus (channel catfish), 107 nucleotides long. Its record names the gene U2. It matches the Rfam family "U2 spliceosomal RNA". From Rfam's summary of the family: U2 is a small nuclear RNA (snRNA) component of the spliceosome (involved in pre-mRNA splicing). Complementary binding between U2 snRNA (in an area lying towards the 5' end but 3' to hairpin I) and the branchpoint sequence (BPS) of the intron results the bulging out of an unpaired adenosine, on the BPS, which initiates a nucleophilic attack at the intronic 5' splice site, thus starting the first of two transesterification reactions that mediate splicing. The record is from Ensembl. NCBI's taxonomy places the organism in Eukaryota, Metazoa, Chordata, Actinopteri, Siluriformes, Ictaluridae.
AUCGCUUCUCAGCCUUUCGGCUAAGAUCAUGUGUAGUAUCUGUUUUUAUCAGUUUAAUAUCUGAUACGUCGUCUAUGUGAGGACUUUGGGUCAGUGGGUAAUGGUCU